Molecule: ribosomal RNA, 371 nt
Filed under: uncultured organism
Description: bacterial SSU rRNA
Rfam family: Bacterial small subunit ribosomal RNA
Source: RNAcentral
CGUAGGGUGCGAGCGUUAAUCGGAAUUACUGGGCGUAAAGCGUGCGCAGGCGGUUUUGUAAGACAGGCGUGAAAUCCCCGGGCUCAACCUGGGAACUGCGCUUGUGACUGCAAGGCUAGAGUACGGCAGAGGGGGUGGAAUUCCACGUGUAGCAGUGAAAUGCGUAGAGAUGUGGAGGAACACCAAUGGCGAAGGCAGCCCCCUGGGUCGAUACUGACGCUCAUGCACGAAAGCGUGGGUAGCAAACAGGAUUAGAUACCCUGGUAGUCCACGCCCCAAACGAUGUCAACUAGGUGUUGGGUGGGUAAAACCAUUUAGUACCGGAGCUAACGCGUGAAGUUGACCGCCUGGGGAGUACGGCCGCAAGGUUA